This is a long non-coding RNA of Raphanus sativus (radish), 1305 nucleotides long. RefSeq lists it as uncharacterized. The transcript is spliced from 4 exons. Lineage: Eukaryota; Viridiplantae; Streptophyta; Magnoliopsida; Brassicales; Brassicaceae. The record is from RefSeq and is a predicted model, not a curated record.
GACCUAACUAAUUCCUCUCUCUUUCUGUCUCUCUGUCCUCAUUCUUGCAUGCAAUCGCAAAAUUGUUGCCAGCCUUCUCUUCUCUUACCUUUCACUUGUCUUUCAUAUUUUUAUAAAAAUUAGACCUUGUGUAUAUUCUUCUGUUUUGGAUUCGAGGAUCAAGUCUUAAUUUUCACAUGCUCAAAGAAGAAUUAAAGUGGUAUCAUCCAUCUUGGCGUGGACGGGCUAGCCAGAGAGAACUUAAAGCCUGAAGACGGUGGAAAUACUCCGCAACUGCUAGAAUACAACGUGCUUCUUGACGGGUCGUCAACAAUUGGUUCAACCUAUGGACUGUUUGGUGCCUCAGAUUAUCUGCCUAAGACGGAGGUGGCUCUAUGUGCAUCGGUUGAGAUGGAAAGAUGUUGAGCGUCGAUGUUGGAGGUCUCAUCGCCAAAUUCUCUGCCAUAAGAUGCAUAGAUAAGUCAUGUGAUGUAUAUAUGUGGAAGUGGUCAUGUUAUGUAUAUAAGUAUGUGAAUGGACUAGUUCUAAUAAGAAGGAAAUGGAGAGAGAAAAAGGGUUUAAAGAAGAGUUUGAAGUAUAUAGACUUAUGGUCUGAAAAGAGAGGAUCUGGUCAAAGCUGAAAGUAGAGUACUGAUGGCAGAAGAAAGAUUGAAAUCUGUUUGACAUGUUUUUGCUGUGACUCUCUCCCUCAACAAGGGAAUCUUCCUAAUCCACUAAAAGAAAAACCAAACCCCAAUUCCCAAAAAGGAAAUGGGAGAGAGAGAGAAAGAGCAUACGGGUUGUGUGAUGAUGAGAUAAAGGAGCAGUUGAUGGAGGAUCAUGAUGUCCUUGUCCAUCAAGAUAGAGGAAGAGUGAUGGGUCUAUCUCUCCAAGAUCAUAUCCAUCUUUGUUCCUGUAAAUAUACACACAAAGCAAAUUAAAGGUUUUAAUUAACUUGGGAUCAUCAAUUCAAAAGGUUUAUGACUUUAGGUCUAAAAGACACUUAAAUUACAUGAAGUUUCCAUUGGAAGACGUGGCCGAGGCUGAUGAUAACUGUUGAUGAUGAUUCUGGUGAUGACCUUGCAUUUGAUGAUGAUGUGGUUGAAGUCUUUGGAAGAUGUUUGAGCGAGUGUGAUAGUAACAGCAGAAAGAUGAUGAUAGAUCUCUUAUGUUGGUCUUCUCCUGAGGCAGCAAGCUUAUGAUGACGGUGGCUUCGAUCACUAGAAAGAGAGGUCGGCUAUAUUGAAGUGGAGAGGGUUCAAGACUUGAGGAUAUUGGAGAAAAUGGAGUUUGUAGAGAAGAAGCAAAAUGAUAUUUAUUUUCUUA